UGGGUUGUAGCUCAGUGAUAGAGUACUUGCCUAGCAUGUAUGAGGUACUGGGUUCAAACCUCAGCACCACAU
Molecule: transfer RNA, 72 nt
Filed under: Marmota monax (woodchuck)
Lineage: Eukaryota; Metazoa; Chordata; Mammalia; Rodentia; Sciuridae
Rfam family: tRNA
About the family: Transfer RNA (tRNA) molecules are approximately 80 nucleotides in length.
Source: Rfam by way of RNAcentral